GUCUGGAACAUCAUUAUAUAUAACCUUUGAUAUAUUUUUGAUAAAAUAUAGCAAGAAUUGUACACACUAGAGCCCUUAUACCUCAUGGAUAAACAGACCGGGUAUUUCUCUGUCCCUUGAAACCUGUCGCAUGGGGGAUGUUAGUGUACAGUUCCCCAUUUUUCAUUCUGUUUAAUGGAAAAAAUCCUGUUAACAUUUUGC
Molecule: long non-coding RNA, 201 nt
Filed under: Mytilus galloprovincialis (Mediterranean mussel)
Lineage: Eukaryota; Metazoa; Mollusca; Bivalvia; Mytilida; Mytilidae
Source: RNAcentral